GACGAACGCUGGCGGUGUGCCUAAUACAUGCAAGUAGAACGCACAGUUUAUACCGUAGCUUGCUACACCAUAAACUGUGAGUUGCGAACGGGUGAGUAACGCGUAGGUAACCUGCCUGGUAGCGGGGGAUAACUAUUGGAAACGAUAGCUAAUACCGCAUAAUAUUGAUUAUUGCAUGAUAAUUGAUUGAAAGAUGCUAUUGCAUCACUACCAGAUGGACCUGCGUUGUAUUAGCUAGUAGGUGAGGUAACGGCUCACCUAGGCGACGAUACAUAGCCGACCUGAGAGGGUGAUCGGCCACACUGGGACUGAGACACGGCCCAGACUCCUACGGGAGGCAGCAGUAGGGAAUCUUCGGCAAUGGACGAAAGUCUGACCGAGCAACGCCGCGUGAGUGAAGAAGGUUUUCGGAUCGUAAAGCUCUGUUGUAAGAGAAGAACGGGUGUGAGAGUGGAAAGUUCACACUGUGACGGUAUCUUACCAGAAAGGGACGGCUAACUACGUG
RNAcentral lists this ribosomal RNA (505 nucleotides) under uncultured bacterium. RNAcentral's name for it is "partial 16S ribosomal RNA". It matches the Rfam family "Bacterial small subunit ribosomal RNA", at positions 28 to 507 of the family's 1533-position model. The record is from RNAcentral.